UCCCAGCAAGCUUGGAAGCCAUACGAGGUCCGUGACGUGAUUGAGCAGUACGCCCAAGGACACCUCAACACGAUGGUUCGCAUAAAAGAACUUCAAAGAAGGUUGGACCAAUACUUGGGAAAGCCAGGUCUUUUCCUCCCAGAAAAAGGGGUAGACAAAGGAUACUACAGUAUAGGAGCCAGACUGAUCCGGCUGGAGGAUAAGGUAA
This is a non-coding RNA of Cyanistes caeruleus (blue tit), 208 nucleotides long. The record is from RefSeq and is a predicted model, not a curated record. Lineage: Eukaryota; Metazoa; Chordata; Aves; Passeriformes; Paridae.